Molecule: long non-coding RNA, 6445 nt
Filed under: Pomacea canaliculata
Lineage: Eukaryota; Metazoa; Mollusca; Gastropoda; Architaenioglossa; Ampullariidae
Description: uncharacterized LOC112571108, transcript variant X1
Source: RNAcentral
AUGCUUACAAUUUGAUUGUCAGUAUCUGCAUUUCGUUCAGUGACGUAGUAAAGACUGCAACCAUUAGGACAAGUGCAGUAGGAUCUACAUCACUAUACUUGAACAGAGAGUUGUUUACACAUGGCUGGUUAGUAAAUGAGGAACUUGUAACUGCUCCACAGAAAAAAUCCCCAGAGUUAGGAAUGUUCUGUCAACCUUUCUUUAAAAGGAAAAGAGAAGAAGGAAAAAUAAAAUCCGCUGGCCAAGGCCGUGCCCUCCUUUACAGCGGCGGGCCCGGGUACACCAGACCCUGUUCCCCCUUCUCGUCAGGCCUGAUCGACGGCGUCAUCCCUACCCUUUUCUAACAGACUAUUUCCACAUAUUGUCCCCUUUCGGUUUAGGUGUAUAGAUGAUGAACGUGGAUAUCUAUCAUCAAAGAGUUGCAUAUGAUCCGUUCAUCUAGUUAACCUAGGUACGUUUGAAGAUUGGUGGGGGAAAGGGGGCGAAGAAGUGGAGGUAAGGAGGCUGAUCUAGCGGCAGGGGUGACAUCAAGAAUUGCGCGCCAGAUGGGAUCCUAUUUCUCCCUACUUUUACCACGUCAUCUACCCCUUGCUUUGACGCGGAUUUAUUAUUAUUCCACGGUCGAUAUCCAUUCGCUUACCCUUUGUCGGUUAACACAGCGCCACGCUGACCGCAGUUUUGAAACACGGAUGUGUAAUACUUUCUUGCGAGAGAGAAUGUACCCGGGAGACGGUAUAAGCCUUCGCUUUCAAGUGGUUCUUAAUUCCUCUUAGAAGCCGGCGAUGCGACUGACACACGAAUCUGGGACUUGAAAAACAGCCUCGUCAACGUGCGCGCAGGUGACCUCUGGCGAAGGUAACCCACGACAUGCGAGUCGCAGGUAGCAACAGCUUGCGCCACGGCAGCAGCGAGUCGAGCCGCAUCUGUCGCUACGAGACACAACAUCACGACAGCCAGAUUAUGAGCUUGAUAUAACACAUGGAAGACCGGAUGAACACAGUGACAGCGAAAGGAAAUGUGACGGAUGGCGACAGCAACACGGUGGAGAGCAGGGCGUACCAGGCUGUCUCACUGGCCGCCUACAUCGUGUCCUUUACAGUCUUCUUUUUCUUCACCUGCGCCAUAGUAUUUUUCAUCAAGCGACGACAGUCACGACGUCUACAAUCAACACUACCUCCCCCACCAGCCACCCGGGAGGUGGCCGUCAUAAGCAGGGUGGAAGGCGGUGUGCAGUUUUCUCCUCAGUCUGGGGUGCAUGUCGCCUCCUACGGAGAAGUGCUUCCUAGCAGCUCAGCCGGCAUCAGUGUACCCGUAUUGACCCCUCCACCCUAUUCAACAAUUGCGUUUGACAACUAUGCGCUGGAUGUCACUUCUGAGUGCGAUCUGCCACCGCCGUACUCAGAGAGGGACAUUUGUACAGAACUGUCGCCAGCGGAGCGGAAAGACAACCGAUGACACCUGACUGCCUCCACUCGAGGCUCUGUGAAACAUCUAGGUCGAACAUCUAGGUCUCUUCGAGAUGCGUGGUCUGGUCAUGCUAGAGAUUGUUUAUUUAUUUUGCGGGAGUGUUGGACGACAGGUGUGUGCGCGACUGCGCGUGGUGUAUUUGUGUUUCUGUGGAGGGUAGGGGAACGGAGGGUGACAGGCAAAAGGUUGUGUGGAGGGAAGGUUACCAAGCACAAACAGCAUGGAGCCCUGACUACGCCCUUCAAUCACUCCAGAUCCGCCUGGUUAACAGUGGAGUAGCUGUAGGGCUCGACCGUGUGACCGCUACAAAACAGUGACAGGGUUACGAGGUUAAAACCUCGCCAGUGAUUCGGGUCAAUGCUUGCCAGUCGACUGGCAACAGAUGACGAAGUGGUCAGUCCACACGGUGUGAAAGUGCGCUACUUUGACAAUUUCAUUUACUUUUUACAGCCUAUAAAUAUUUGUGUCUGGUGAGAUUCAGCCGAUCACCAUGCAGUAAGAAGCACGGAUUUUAUUAACCUGACACAUUAAUGCACACUUUUUUUUAUAUAUUAUUAAUCGUUCAUUGGUGGUAGCCAAGUUAACGACAACCUGUUUAAAAUUUCGUUGAUUUUUGAUUUUAAAUUUAUGGACUAUGCUUUCGAAUUUUAAACCCAGGGCAUCUUUUUUUAAAUUAUGUGAGUGUAGGAGCAGUUGUCUGUUAAUGUUUUUGCACCCAUAUGUGUGUGUGAGAGAGAGAGAGAGAGAGCGAGCACAUAAAUACAGACGAGUUUUAUGUUUUAUGUUUUAUGCACGGCAAUACACUAAUUCCAAUCCACAAUAUUUACAAAUAGCUUCUCACUAAAAAAAGAAUGACUAGAAUUUUUUUUUUCAAAUAAACUGUUUCAUGGGAGUUUGUUUGCACUCAUGUUUUAAGUCCCAUUCAACAUUUAUUUCACUGUGAUACAGCAAAGUUCGUGUUCAUGAAGCACGUUUAAUUAACCUGAGACGGGUAAAAAGGUUGGUGAAAUGUGUGAGCCAUUUUGAUAUUCAUACACUAUAUUCUGGAGAGGCCCUUUUCGACUAAAAGUUAAUAAGCACAAUGGAGAGAUUUCUUACUUAGAUAUAUAUAAACGAACACAUUGCGAUUUUAAACUAAGGUCAUAAAUAUAAGAUUAUUGUUAAAAACAAAUUUAUAUCUCUAACCUAAAUUUUAGUGACUUAGAUGUUAAGAUUGUGUUAUGUAACCCGAACUGCAUUUUCCCGGGGAGUAGACUCGGUAACCCUGUGUCGCUUCCCGGCGGCAACAAGACAGAGCGUGAUGUCACCUCAGAGUACUGAGUACCUAUUAGUGUGAUGUCAUAGCAAGCCGCUGGCGGCGACGUAAGAGGUACGUAAUCUGACCUCUUUCUAGCCUCUGCUCGUUCGCUUGACGUCAUACGGCGGAGCAAAAAUAGACUGAAAGGAAUCCCAUUGACUACCGGCCAGAUGAGAUGGAAGGCUAAGUGGACAAAGGAAACCACGUCACCACUGACCCUAUGACCGCACGCCCUCAGCUGUGGACGCAGAAGCGCCAGUCAACAAGUUCGCUGUGGCAACACCAAUCAGCUGAUCGGAGGAAGCCACCCCAAUGGAUAGUCCCUACGUCACUUCCUAACCUCGUGCUCGCGUGGUUUGGACAAAGGUCAGCCAUCAGCCUCAGGUUUCUGAGCAAUUGAAAAAAAAAGCAGCAGCAAGAAGACAAUGAACGCCAUCAACUCUACUAGUGGUGGGGUACUUCUUCCUGUUACCACCCGCGUUGCAAAGGAGCUGUAUCAUAUGGACGGAUUCCUUAUAACUGUACUUAAAUUUGAGGUUAUCUUUGUUGGUCUUGCCAUCAUCGUCUUGUUAGGCAAUUCUGUCUAUCAAAAUUACUUCUACUACCCAAGAUAUCUUCGCUCAUUGGCCUCAGCUGAGUCGGGAGAAAGCACAAAGGUUUCAAAAUGUUCUGCGCCAUCUGAAGAACAAUGUUCCGUGAAACAACGCACAAUGUGCACACAUCAAAACAGACUCAACUGUCGUAGUAAUGUCACCCCCGCCGUAUUCUUCACUGGAUGAACAAGACACAAACAGUGAUCUUCCAACAGCCAUUGUCCUUGUUUGACUUGCAGUCGUUACGAAGAACAAGAACGUGAAUAGAAAAUACCUAAUAAAGGUUCUCAAUGACCAUCCGGAGCCUCAUUUAGGACGGAAUUGAACACUGUUUGAAUAAAAAUAUUUUGGGCUUGGAAGUGUGAUGUGUAAAUGUCGUGUUUGCCACUCAUUCUCUCAUUUGUAUUUUUCCUGAUUUUUUUUUUUAUAAUGCUCACAUAUGAUGACUAUCAGCUGCGGACCACCUGACACACGUGCGGCCCACACUUUGCCAACCACUGCUGUACAGUAUUAAUAAUGUAACUCAGUGAUGGCAGUCACAAAGUGAGUGUAAUCUCAGCUGAUUAACUCUGUAGGUGUUUUCAUUUAUCACUGACGUUGAGACAGAAAUACUCAGAAACUAUUCUACCUGCAGCUAUUAGAAAGAUGAUUACUAGUGUUAAUAAACUAAAACCACAGUGUGCGAACCAUUGUAAAUCGUAGAAUAAUAAUAAUAAUAAAAAAAUGUUUAAACGAAUACUCAUACUAAGGUGCAUGCCCAAGAACGAAACAUGGACAGCACAUGAGGGACAGGAAAACAAACAACAUAUGAACUAUAAAAAAACUAAAAACCGUAUUCAACGAACAAUAAAAUCAAAUGAAGAAAAAAGCAAAGAAGAACCGAAAAACAAAAGAGCUGAGAGUAACAUAAUAUUGCAAAACGAAGGGAGUUAACAAGAACUAGCAUUAUUUACCGAAAUAAACACAUUAAAGAAAUGUAUUUUCUUAUAUUGACAUAUAUAUAAAUAAAGAUGGGGUGAAAAAAAAAAUAGAAAGCAACGAGGGAGUUCACACCACUAUUGCUGAUCCACUAACCGUAAAUAUACUUUUUUUACCUUUCCUUUUUUUGUGUGAAAUGUUUAUUUUUGUUAAAUAAACCAAAUAUAGCGGAAUUAACCAGAAAGAGCCAUUUUACAAUAAAAGAAUGUUCCAGAAUUACUUAGAGCUGGAAGAAUAUUUUUUUGUUGUUUACCCUGAAAUUAACAAUCGAAAUGAUUGAAAGUCCGGCAAUCAGAAAAUGUUUUGGUGAAAGUAUAGAUUAAUAAUAUUUAUUGAUAUAUUAUAUAUAUAUAUUGACUGCUCAAUAUUCCACGUCCGCCUCCUCUUCCCUGACAGGCCGCAGGCGGCGACGACAAAAUGACGUAAUCUGACCUCCCUCCAGCCUCUGCUCGUUCGCUUGACGUCAUACGGCGGAGCGACACUAGACUGAAAGGAAUCUCAUUGGCUACCGGCACGUGACCACUGACUGACCCGCCCUCUAGAAGCUCUGGACAGAGAACAGCCAGUCAACGUUCGCUGUAGCAAGGGUCAGUCUACGUCACUGCUCAACCUUGUGCUCAGCUCACGUGGUUUGGACAAAGCUCAGCCAUCAGUUGCGGGUUUCUCAGAUUUCUGAAAAUUUAAAAGAAAAUGAUCCCUACCAAUGCUGCUACUGGCGAGGUACUUCUUCCUGUGACCACCCCGGUUACAGAGGAUCCGCAUACCAAGGACGAAGUCUUCCUACGUUUACUUUACGUGUGUGUUGUCUUCAUUUGUCUUUCCAUUCUCUUCUGGUUUGGCGAUAUUUUGUACCAACAAUACGUCUCCUACUCUACAAAUGUUCGCUUCCUGGUCUUCGAGACUUGUGAGAACAAUGGUCCGCGUGGAAGCACCGCACAAUGUGCACACAACAACACAGACUCAACUGUCGUAGUAAUGUCGCCCCCGCCGUAUUCUUCACUGGAUGAACAAGACACAAACAGUGAUCCUCCACCAACCUACCAAGAAAAAGCAGCCACAUCUCUUAUUGGAGUUACAGUUGUUACGAAAAACAAAAACGUGUGCCACAAAAUACCUAAUAUAAUACCUAAUGACCACCGGAGCCAAUGCAAACCCUAAUUCAGGACGGAAUUGAACACUGCUUGUAAAAAUUCUUUUGAGCUUGUGGAAGAUUGUGUUACAGAGUUUAAAUGUAAAUACGAUUACUCGCUGGUUUCUUUUAUAUAUAUAUUUUGGGUUAAACUGUUGAGGGUCACGGAAACAUAAACUCACCUGUACCAGACCAUGGAGAGGACAGCCAGCUCCUUUGUCAUCAAAGUGGCUGUUGCUGACUUUAUGGUGUAGGAAGAUAUCAUUUGACAGAUUAUUUAAGCGCUUAUGCGUAAAGGGAGAAGAACUUUUAAUUGUGUUCAUUUUCAUUUCUGAAACCGAAGAGGGUUUUAACUUUGUGCUUUACAGCAUUAAUAAUUUAACUCCGUGAUAGCAGUCAUAAAGAGUGUAAUCUGAGCUCAUUAAAUCUCUCUAGGAGUUUUAAUUUAUCACUAACGUUGAGACAGAAAUAUUCAGAGACUAUUCUACCUGCAGUCUUUAUGACAAAUAUUAUAAUAAACUAUUAGUGUUCAUAAGCUAACACUGCAGUGUGCAAUCAUUGUUAAUUUUUUCAAUUGCUAUUCUAUAGUCACAGAGGGUAAGUAAAUUUUGCGAGACAUCCAUUUAUUUCUUCUCAGUUCAUCAUUGAAGAUAACUUUGUAGUUUCUGUAUCCUCUUGUAUGUUUAUUUGCAGUUAUUGAAAAAUAAGAUAAAUAUACGUAGUGCGGAGGAGCUUGCACGCAAACGUACAUACGCACACUUUUCCGAGUCGUACAUACAUGAGUAAGGCACGCAUGCAUAGAGCUUGUGUGUGUGUGUGAGAGACAGACAGACAGACAGGGUGUCACUACUCAUGUAAAAGACGUUAUGCCUCACUCGAAUUGUUAACACGCAUUUAAAACCAUUAAAGGUUGUCACUACUCAUAUGACGGUUGUCCUUUUCUAUCAUAUUACUGUUUAAAGGCUCGCGAAACGUUAUGAU